UCGAGAGGCUUCGGCAAUGGGGGAAACCCUGACCGAGCGACGCCGCGUGGGGGAUGACGGCCCUUGGGUUGUAAACCCCUUUCGACCGGGAAGAAUGUUCGCGGGACUAAUAAGACCGCGAAUUGACGGUACCGGUAGAAGAAGCUCCGGCUAACUCCGUGCCAGCAGCCGCGGUAAUACGGGGGGAGCAAACGUUGUUCGGAAUCACUGGGCGUAAAGGGCGUGUAGGCGGUUCGGUAAGUGGAAUGUGAAAUCCCCCGGCUUACCCGGGGAACUGCAUCCCAUACUGCUGGACUUGAGUGCGGGAGAGGAUGGAGGAAUUCCUGGUGUAGCGGUGAAAUGCGUAGAUAUCAGGAGGAACACCUGUGGCGAAGGCGUCCAUCUGGCCCGUUACUGACGCUGAUGCGCGAAAGCUAGGGGAGCAAACG
This 428-nucleotide ribosomal RNA is filed under the name uncultured Latescibacterota bacterium. RNAcentral describes it as "bacterial SSU rRNA". It matches the Rfam family "Bacterial small subunit ribosomal RNA", at positions 355 to 774 of the family's 1533-position model. Lineage: Bacteria; Pseudomonadati; Candidatus Latescibacterota. The record is from RNAcentral.